Molecule: ribosomal RNA, 274 nt
Filed under: uncultured bacterium
Lineage: Bacteria
Description: partial 16S ribosomal RNA
Rfam family: Bacterial small subunit ribosomal RNA
Source: RNAcentral
AUCCGGAGGGUGCAAGCGUUAUUCGGAAUCACUGGGCGUAAAGGACGCGUAGGCGGGUUGGCAAGUCAGAUGUGAAAUCCUACAGCUUAACUGUAGAACUGCAUUUGAAACUGCUAACCUAGAGUAUGGGAGGGGGAGAUGGAAUUAGUGGUGUAGGGGUAAAAUCCGUAGAUAUCACUAGGAAUACCGAAAGCGAAGGCGAUCUCCUGGAACAUAACUGACGCUAAGGCGUGAAAGCGUGGGGAGCAAACAGGAUUAGAGACCCUAGUAGUCC